Molecule: transfer RNA, 73 nt
Filed under: Stegodyphus mimosarum
Lineage: Eukaryota; Metazoa; Arthropoda; Arachnida; Araneae; Eresidae
Rfam family: tRNA
About the family: Transfer RNA (tRNA) molecules are approximately 80 nucleotides in length. Their secondary structure includes four short double-helical elements and three loops (D, anti-codon, and T loops).
Source: Rfam by way of RNAcentral
GCCUUCGUAGUGUAAUGGUCAGAACUCUCGGCGCGUAUUCCAGAGGUCCUAGGUUCGAGUCCCGGCGAGGGCA